CAAUAAAUAUGUAUCAUUUAAUCAUCAACCUAAGUUUAGCUCUAUUGUAAUAUUUUUGCUUAAUUUCGGUCAUGAGCUAGAGGUGUGGCAGUUUAGGCCUAGGCUAGGGGUUAUAAAUACUAGUUUAAUGGGAGUUAGCCUCUUAAUUAAAACCUAGUCACUGUGAGGGGAUUUUCAGGAAAGAGAGAGAGAGAGCUUUUGGUUAUGUCACACCAAGGUCUAGAAGUUAGAAGUGUUGGAGGUUGAUUAGGAGAAAUGUUUUGCUUGGAUUAGAGGUAAGGAGAGCUAUCCUUCAAUGUCAAUGAUUGAGUAAUUAUGUAUGAGUGCAUGUACAUUCUAUUUUGUGUGAAUGUCAUGAAGGUUUGAUGGUGUGUAUCAUGUGUGUUGUGUUAUUUGUUUAAACCCAUGUCAUUGUGUUCAAUGUGUUUUGUUGCGUUGAGUUCAUCCUGG
This 450-nucleotide long non-coding RNA is filed under the name Vigna radiata. RNAcentral's name for it is "long non-coding RNA (VRAD_LNC006632)". The record is from RNAcentral. Lineage: Eukaryota; Viridiplantae; Streptophyta; Magnoliopsida; Fabales; Fabaceae.